GCACUGCUGAUGAGACCCAGAUUGGUGGAAACAGCUGUCCGGUGC
Molecule: non-coding RNA, 45 nt
Filed under: Echinostoma caproni
Lineage: Eukaryota; Metazoa; Platyhelminthes; Trematoda; Plagiorchiida; Echinostomatidae
Source: RNAcentral